AGACGGACUUGGUUGGCCUGACCAACCCUAGUUGGCAUUAAUUAUGCAAAUGAUUAUUUUUGGAUGGCCUGUGAAUCCGACC
Molecule: microRNA precursor, 82 nt
Filed under: Branchiostoma floridae (Florida lancelet)
Lineage: Eukaryota; Metazoa; Chordata; Leptocardii; Amphioxiformes; Branchiostomatidae
Description: microRNA bfl-mir-4901 precursor
Source: miRBase by way of RNAcentral